UAAAGUUAAAACCUAUGUACAAUGUAUGUGACCAUUAUCCAGAUAAUGCAAACACUGCCGACUGCCGACUUCAUGUCCCUACACAGUGUCCAUACCACAGUGCCUCCACUCGUUACCUACCACUAUCCAUUCACCCGACACAGUACCUCCACCCCUUACCUACCACUAUACAUUCACACGGCACAGUGCCUCCACCGCUUACCUACCACUGUCCGUUCACACGGCACAGUGCCAUCACCGCUUACCUACCACUGUCCAUUCACACGGCACAGUGCCAUCACCGCUUACCUACUGCACAGUGCCUCCACCUAUUACAUACCAUUCCAUUCACCCGGCACAGUGUAUCCACUAUGGCUGCCUGUUUCACAAAGUUUCCGUUGUUCAAGCCUGCCCCCUUUACCUUCACACUCAUUACUCCCAUCAUAGUGCACCAGUCCCCACUGUCUACUUUCCCUGCACUCAUCACAGUGCCUCCACUCCACACUUUCCGCUCUCCCUGCUCCUACAAUAAAACAUUUCCAUGUUUGCCUGUUGCCAUCCCACAGAUAUGUUGAUGCUCUCACACCUGAGCCUCUGGCUGCAUUUCCUAUAUACCUGGCGCCGCCUCUCCCUUCUAACAGCGCAGCUUGCAGCCCGUGUCUCUGAGGACCCAGUGAAUAAUUUAUUUAUCUGGCAGUGUAAAUAAACCCUAGCCUGACUCAGAGGCUUUAUUACACUCCGACACGCUGCAAACAUGACUGACACAGGCCAAUAU
Molecule: non-coding RNA, 754 nt
Organism: Pelobates cultripes (western spadefoot toad)
Lineage: Eukaryota; Metazoa; Chordata; Amphibia; Anura; Pelobatidae
Source: the annotation of a GenBank genome assembly